GAUGAACGCUGACAGAAUGCUUAACACAUGCAAGUCAACUUGAAUUUGGGUUUUUAACUUAGGUUUGGGUGGCGGACGGGUGAGUAACGCGUAAAGAACUUGCCUCACAGCUAGGGACAACAUUUGGAAACGAAUGCUAAUACCUAAUAUUAUGAUAAUAGGGCAUCCUAUAAUUAUGAAAGCUAUAAGCGCUGUGAGAGAGCUUUGCGUCCCAUUAGCUAGUUGGAGAGGUAACGGCUCACCAAGGCGAUGAUGGGUAGCCGGCCUGAGAGGGUGAUCGGCCACAAGGGGACUGAGACACGGCCCUUACUCCUACGGGAGGCAGCAGUGGGGAAUAUUGGACAGUGGACCGAGAGUCUGAUCCAGCAAUUCUGUGUGCACGAUGAAGUUUUUCGGAAUGUAAAGUGCUUUCAGUUGGGAAGAAACAAAUGACGGUACCAACAGAAGAAGUGACGGCUAAAUACGUG
RNAcentral lists this ribosomal RNA (467 nucleotides) under uncultured bacterium. RNAcentral describes it as "partial 16S ribosomal RNA". It matches the Rfam family "Bacterial small subunit ribosomal RNA", at positions 28 to 507 of the family's 1533-position model. The record is from RNAcentral.